GACGAACGCUGGCGGCGUGCUUAACACAUGCAAGUCGAACGGUGAAGCUCCAGCUUGCUGGAGUGGAUCAGUGGCGAACGGGUGAGUAACACGUGAGCAACCUGCCCCAGACUCUGGAAUAAGCGCUGGAAACGGCGUCUAAUACUGGAUACGAGAUCAAGCCGCAUGGUUAUGGUCUGGAAAGUUUUUCGGUUUGGGAUGGGCUCGCGGCCUAUCAGCUUGUUGGUGAGGUAAUGGCUCACCAAGGCGACGACGGGUAGCCGGCCUGAGAGGGCGACCGGCCACACUGGGACUGAGACACGGCCCAGACUCCUACGGGAGGCAGCAGGGGGGAAUAUUGCACAAUGGGCGAAAGCCUGAUGCAGCGACGCCGCGUGAGGGAUGACGGCCUUCGGGUUGUAAACCUCUUUCAGCAGGGAAGAAGCGAAAGUGACGGUACCUGCAGAAGAAGCACCGGCUAACUACGUG
This 468-nucleotide ribosomal RNA is filed under the name uncultured bacterium. RNAcentral describes it as "partial 16S ribosomal RNA". It matches the Rfam family "Bacterial small subunit ribosomal RNA", at positions 28 to 507 of the family's 1533-position model. The record is from RNAcentral.